GGUAGCUCAGUGGUAGAGUGCAUGCUUCGUAAGUAUGAUGUCCUGGGUUUAAUUCCCAUAUUCUCCC
Molecule: non-coding RNA, 67 nt
Organism: Dallia pectoralis (Alaska blackfish)
Lineage: Eukaryota; Metazoa; Chordata; Actinopteri; Esociformes; Umbridae
Source: the annotation of a GenBank genome assembly